UGUAAAGUCAACCUCCAUCUCCGCCUAACCCUCCCCCACCGCCGGACUUCACCCUGAAACUGCGCCAUCGGAGGUGGGGGUCUGCCCCCGUGCAACGCGUUGCAGGGCCAGCGCCUCUAUACCCGCAGUAACUUCGUAGAUACAGACUAACACAGCUGCUACUCUGAAGGGCUACCUGGUGUCUGUCAAUGGCUGCAUGAACAUGCAGCUUGCAAACACAGAAGAAUACGUAGAUGGUGCAUUGUCAGGACACCUUGGCCUUUGAUAAGAUGUAACAAUGUCCUGUACAUCAGAGGAGUAGAAGAAGAAAAUGGAGAAAUGAGAGAGCAAAACUGGCUUUGAGAAGCAGGGCCAACGCCUGGGAUCAAAAAGGACUAUAACAGGUUAAAAAGAUCUCUCAAGAAGAGGUAGUUGUUGGAGAAUUGUUGGGAGAAACCAGACUGACACAGGCACCUCCUGGGAUAUCUGAAGAAGCUGGGAUUGUAGGAUUUAAAUAAGAUAGAUAUGCUUGUUGGUUGACUGUUGUUUCAAAAUCCUUUUUCUCUAAAUGCUUUGUUCCUACUAUUAAACAGUGCUCUGAUUUUGAAAAGGCUGUCUGAUCACUAAAUUUCACAGUAAUCACAUACUCCCAGAAGGAAGAACCACAGGUGCCAAAUUCUGUCAGAUCUCCUGGAUAAAUAUAGUUAAUACAUAGGAUACUAAAAAAAGGAGUACUUGUGAUGUCCGAUGAAGUGAGCUGUAGCUCAUGAAAGCUUAUGCUCAAAUAAAUUUGUUAGUCUCCAAGGUGCCAUAAGUAAUCUUUUCUUUUUGUGGCUACAGACUAACACGGCUGCUACUCUGAAACCUGACAUAGGAUACUGUAGCCCAGGGCGUGGUAUAAGAGUGGGAGAUUUGUAGAAUUCCAUCCCAGGAGAGGCAAGGGCAUGCGGCCUAACAUCUAAUGGGGUGCACUAAGAGAGACCAGGAAGGGGAUGGAGGUGGAGUUAGUCCUACAACCAUGAAAAGCCACUUCACAAGCCCUCUAUGAUAAGAGUUGCAAGAAGGGUGUUCAGGGGUUAGCUGUAGGGGAUAUGAUCCGUAUGUACAUUUGUUAUAACUUAAUUAGAGGAACUCGCGUUUCUAAAAUUUUGUAUUGAAUAUACUCAUUCCUUACCUAUGAGGAAAUCUACUAGUUCAAAAUAUAAAGUGUAAAUUGUCCCAUCAGUAUGAACUCGUCUAUAUAUUUUUGAACUUCUACUAUGAUGUAUUCAUUUGGUAAGAUUUUACUGGCAAAAUUGAGUGUAGUCCUUUUUAAUGACAAACUCUCUGCCUCAUUUUGAGUUUAAACUGGCCUGAAUAUUUCCUUACGUAUUAGUUAGGGCUGUUGAUUAAUCACAAGUAACUCAUGCAAUUAACUCAAAAAAUUAAUUGUGGUUAAAAAAUUAAUUGUGAUUAAUCACACUGUUAAAAGAAUACCAAUUGAAAUUUAU
This is a long non-coding RNA of Dermochelys coriacea (leatherback sea turtle), 1469 nucleotides long. RefSeq lists it as uncharacterized. NCBI's taxonomy places the organism in Eukaryota, Metazoa, Chordata, Testudines, Dermochelyidae. The record is from RefSeq and is a predicted model, not a curated record. The transcript is spliced from 3 exons.